This 199-nucleotide microRNA precursor is filed under the name Oryza rufipogon (brownbeard rice). RNAcentral describes it as "MIR812 microRNA precursor family". It matches the Rfam family "MIR812 microRNA precursor family". The record is from Rfam by way of RNAcentral. Lineage: Eukaryota; Viridiplantae; Streptophyta; Magnoliopsida; Poales; Poaceae.
UUUAGACGCGGUUAUUGGUUUUUAUGCCCAACGUUUUAUUGUCGCCUUAUUUAUUUUUUUAAAAUUAGUAUUUUUAUUAUUAUUAGAUGAUAAAACAUAAAUAAUAGCUUCAUACAUGACUUUAUAUAUAUAUAUAUAUAUUAAAUAAGACAAACGGUUAAACGUUGGACGUACGUGGAAUCUCGCGACUGCCUUAGCA